AGGACGAACGCUGGCGGCGCGCCUUACGCAUGCAAGUCGAACGGACCUUCGGGUUAGUGGCGGACGGCUGAGUAACGCGUAGGUAAUCUGCCCAGUAGUGGGGGACAACCUGCCGAAAGGUGGGCUAAUACCGCAUAAGUCCCCGGGUUGAAACUCCCCGGGGGGAAAGCAUUUAUGCGCUACUGGAGGAGCCUGCGUCUUAUCAGGUAGUUGGUGGGGUAAUGGCCUACCAAGCCUUUGACGGGUAGCUGGUCUGAGAGGACGACCAGCCAGAAGGGGACUGAGACACGGCCCCUACUCCUACGGGAGCAGCAGCGAGGAAUCUUGGGCAAUGGGCGAAAGCCUGACCCAGCGACGCCGCGUGAGGGAUGGAAGGCCUUCGGGGUCUAAACCUCUUUUAUGGGAGAAGAAGUUCUGACGGUAUCCCAUGAAUAAGCCACGGCUAACUACGUGCCAGCAGCCGC
Molecule: ribosomal RNA, 464 nt
Filed under: uncultured soil bacterium
Lineage: Bacteria
Description: bacterial SSU rRNA
Rfam family: Bacterial small subunit ribosomal RNA
Source: RNAcentral